This 521-nucleotide ribosomal RNA is filed under the name Vishniacozyma victoriae. RNAcentral describes it as "partial large subunit ribosomal RNA". It matches the Rfam family "Eukaryotic large subunit ribosomal RNA", at positions 139 to 652 of the family's 3401-position model. Lineage: Eukaryota; Fungi; Basidiomycota; Tremellomycetes; Tremellales; Bulleribasidiaceae. The record is from RNAcentral.
CGAGUUGUAAUCUAUAGAGGCGUUUUCCGCGCCGGACCGCGUCCAAGUCUCUUGGAAUAGAGUAUCAAAGAGGGUGACAAUCCCGUACUUGACGCGACAACCGGUGCUCUGUGAUACGUUCUCAAUGAGUCGAGUUGUUUGGGAAUGCAGCUCUAAAUGGGUGGUAAAUUCCAUCUAAGGCUAAAUAUUGGCGAGAGACCGAUAGCGAACAAGUACCGUGAGGGAAAGAUGAAAAGCACUUUGGAAAGAGAGUUAAACAGCACGUGAAAUUGUUAAAAGGGAAACGAUUGAAGUCAGUCGUGUGAAAGGUAUUCAGCCGUCUCUGGCGGUGUAUUUGCCUUUCACGGGUCAACAUCAGUUUGAUCCGGUAGAAAAAGGCGGGAGGAAGGUGGCACCCUCGGGUGUGUUAUAGCCUCCUGUCAUAUGUGCCGGACCAGACUGAGGAACGCAGCUUGCCGCAAGGCCGGGGUUCGCCCACGUACAAGCUUAGGAUGUUGACAUAAUGGCUUUAAACGACCCGU